Molecule: non-coding RNA, 76 nt
Organism: Podarcis lilfordi (Lilford's wall lizard)
Lineage: Eukaryota; Metazoa; Chordata; Lepidosauria; Squamata; Lacertidae
Source: the annotation of a GenBank genome assembly
GUCCAUAGCUCAGAGGCACAGCGUCUGCUUUUCAUGCAGAAGGUCCCAGAUUCAAUCCCUGUUAUUUCCAGAUACA